This 725-nucleotide ribosomal RNA is filed under the name uncultured bacterium. RNAcentral's name for it is "bacterial SSU rRNA". It matches the Rfam family "Bacterial small subunit ribosomal RNA", at positions 62 to 803 of the family's 1533-position model. The record is from RNAcentral.
CCCGACUUCUUCGGAACGAGGAGCCUUGCGACUGAGUGGCGGACGGGUGAGUAACGCGUGGGCAACCUGCCUUGCACUGGGGGAUAACAGCCAGAAAUGGCUGCUAAUACCGCAUAAGACCGAAGCGCCGCAUGGCGCGGCGGCCAAAGCCCCGGCGGUGCAAGAUGGGCCCGCGUCUGAUUAGGAAGUUGGCGGGGUAACGGCCCACCAAGCCGACGAUCAGUAGCCGACCUGAGAGGGUGACCGGCCACAUUGGGACUGAGACACGGCCCAGACUCCUACGGGAGGCAGCAGUGGGGAAUAUUGCACAAUGGGGGAAACCCUGAUGCAGCGACGCCGCGUGAAGGAUGAAGUAUUUCGGUAUGUAAACUUCUAUCAGCAGGGAAGAAGAUGACGGUACCUGACUAAGAAGCCCCGGCUAACUACGUGCCAGCAGCCGCGGUAAUACGUAGUGGGCAAGCGUUAUCCGGAUUUACUGGGUGUAAAGGGAGCGUAGACGGCGAUGCAAGCCAGAUGUGAAAGCCCGGGGCUCAACCCCGGGACUGCAUUUGGAACUGCGUGGCUGGAGUGUCGGAGAGGUAGGCGGAAUUCCUAGUGUAGCGGUGAAAUGCGUAGAUAUUAGGGGGAACACCAGUGGCGAAGGCGGCCUGCUGGACGAUGACUGACGUUGAGGCUCGAAAGCGUGNGGAGCAAACAGGAUUAGAUACCCUGGUAGUCCACGCCGU